GACGGAGGAUGCAAGUGUUAUCCGGAAUCACUGGGCGUAAAGCGUCUGUAGGUGGUUUAGAAAGUCUAUUGUUAAAGGUUGAAGCUUAACUUCAAAACUGCACUAGAAACUUCUAAACUUGAGUAUGGUAGGGGUAAAGGGAAUUUCCAGUGGAGCGGUGAAAUGCGUAGAUAUUGGAAAGACCACCAAUGGCGAAGGCACUUUACUGGGCCAUUACUGACACUGAGAGACGAAAGCUAGGGGAGCAAAUGGG
This 253-nucleotide ribosomal RNA is filed under the name uncultured bacterium. Its description in RNAcentral is "partial 16S ribosomal RNA". It matches the Rfam family "Bacterial small subunit ribosomal RNA", at positions 524 to 776 of the family's 1533-position model. The record is from RNAcentral.